AUACGGAGGGUGCAAGCGUUGUUCGGAAUUAUUGGGCGUAAAGCGCGUGUAGGCGGUUUCUUAAGUCUGAUGUGAAAGCCCCGGGCUCAACCUGGGAAGUGCAUUGGAAACUGGGAGACUUGAAUACGGGAGAGGGUAGUGGAAUUCCUAGUGUAGGAGUGAAAUCCGUAGAUAUUAGGAGGAACACCGGUGGCGAAGGCGGCUCUCUGGACCGAUACUGACGCUGAGACGCGAAAGCGUGGGUAGU
RNAcentral lists this ribosomal RNA (247 nucleotides) under uncultured bacterium. RNAcentral describes it as "partial 16S ribosomal RNA". It matches the Rfam family "Bacterial small subunit ribosomal RNA", at positions 523 to 769 of the family's 1533-position model. The record is from RNAcentral.